RNAcentral lists this unclassified non-coding RNA (258 nucleotides) under uncultured fungus. Its description in RNAcentral is "partial contains 5.8S ribosomal RNA, internal transcribed spacer 2, and large subunit ribosomal RNA". The record is from RNAcentral. Lineage: Eukaryota; Fungi.
AACGCACAUUGCGCCCUUUGGCAUUCCGAAGGGCAUGCCCGUUCGAGCGUCAUUAAAUCCACUCAAGCCUGGCUUGGUGUUGGGCGUCGGGGUCCCCCUGCGCCUCAAUUUCACCGGCUGGCCGUAGUCCGUCGUAGCGUUGUGACACACCUCUCGCUGCCGACGGGGCCGGAUCACGCCGUUUAAAACCCCCCGAAUUUCCAGUCGAAAUUCGAUUAGGUUGACCUCGGAUCGGGUAGGAAUACCCGCUGAACUUAA